GAUGAACGCUGGCGGCGUGCCUAAUACAUGCAAGUCGAGCGAACAGACGAGGAGCUUGCUCCUCUGACGUUAGCGGCGGACGGGUGAGUAACACGUGGAUAACCUACCUAUAAGACUGGGAUAACUUCGGGAAACCGGAGCUAAUACCGGAUAAUAUUUUGAACCGCAUGGUUCAAUAGUGAAAGACGGUUUUGCUGUCACUUAUAGAUGGAUCCGCGCCGCAUUAGCUAGUUGGUAAGGUAACGGCUUACCAAGGCAACGAUGCGUAGCCGACCUGAGAGGGUGAUCGGCCAAAAUGGAACUGAGACACGGUCCAGACUCCUAAGGGAGGCAGCAGUAGGGAAUCUUCCGCAAUGGGCGAAAGCCUGACGGAGCAACGCCGCGUGAGUGAUGAAGGUCUUCGGAUCGUAAAACUCUGUUAUUAGGGAAGAGCAAAUGUGUAAGUAACUAUGCACGUCUUGACGGUACCUAAUCAGAAAGCCACGGCUAACUACGUG
RNAcentral lists this ribosomal RNA (497 nucleotides) under uncultured bacterium. Its description in RNAcentral is "partial 16S ribosomal RNA". It matches the Rfam family "Bacterial small subunit ribosomal RNA", at positions 28 to 507 of the family's 1533-position model. The record is from RNAcentral.